GGGCCCAACUGCCGUAAACGCUUUUUACAAUCCGGAAGCGAACGACAUCAUUUUUCCUUCAGGAAUUCUUCAAGGAGUGUUUUACAAGGAUGGCCUACCGGCAUCUGUGAAUCUUGGCGCCAUUGGGUUCGUGGUCGGUCACGAGCUGACACAUGGCUUCGACGAUUACGGUAG
Dermacentor silvarum is the source of this 174-nucleotide long non-coding RNA. RefSeq lists it as uncharacterized. The transcript has 3 exons. Lineage: Eukaryota; Metazoa; Arthropoda; Arachnida; Ixodida; Ixodidae. The record is from RefSeq and is a predicted model, not a curated record.